Molecule: ribosomal RNA, 261 nt
Filed under: uncultured bacterium
Lineage: Bacteria
Description: partial 16S ribosomal RNA
Rfam family: Bacterial small subunit ribosomal RNA
Source: RNAcentral
UGGCAGGUACANAGGGAUGCUACCGGGCGACCGGAUGCGGAUCUCGAAAGCCUGUCCCAGUUCGGACUGGAGUCUGCAACCCGACUCCACGAAGUUGGAUUCGCUAGUAAUCGCGCAUCAGCCAUGGCGCGGUGAAUACGUUCCCGGGCCUUGUACACACCGCCCGUCAAGCCAUGGGAGCCGGGGGCGCCUGAAGUCCGGGACCGCGAGGACCGGCCUAGGGCGAAACUGGUAACUGGGGCUAAGUCGUAACAAGGUACC